GUCGAAUAGCUCAUUUGGUAGAGCACAAGAUUUUGGAUCUUGCGGUAGUGGGUUCAACUCCCACUUCGACUC
This 72-nucleotide transfer RNA is filed under the name Planctomycetota bacterium. RNAcentral's name for it is "tRNA-Gln". It matches the Rfam family "tRNA". Rfam says of the family: Transfer RNA (tRNA) molecules are approximately 80 nucleotides in length. Lineage: Bacteria; Pseudomonadati; Planctomycetota. The record is from RNAcentral.